RNAcentral lists this unclassified non-coding RNA (342 nucleotides) under Hevea brasiliensis (rubber tree). The record is from RNAcentral. Lineage: Eukaryota; Viridiplantae; Streptophyta; Magnoliopsida; Malpighiales; Euphorbiaceae.
CUUCUCCACUUUUCUCUUUCGGGUCUUGAUUUGCGUUAGAUUCUAGGGAGAUUAGAGGAAGAUUGAUUCUUUUUUUGAUCAUGGAUUUGGGGAAAGGGAAGGAGAUACGCUAUUUUGAUCUCAAUUUACCUGUCCAGGAUUCUUUAACUGGAUUAGGGUUUCAAGAUUCUGUUCCUUUCGGGUUCCCGCAUAAUAAUCUAACGGAAUUCAACCGAUUUGUUGAUGAUAUUGGUACGGGUAGCAGUUUUGGUGGUGAUUUGAGCAGAGGGGAGACUGACCCAGAUGUUCAAAUGACUAGUUAUGCUGACCCAGAUGUUCAAAUGACUAGUUAUCCGAGUACGC